AUCACUUACACAGAGUGUAGAAGUGGAAAUGUUGGUGUGUGUUCUGAUAACACUGCAGUGUUACCACCUGUGACUGCCUCCAGCUAUAGCCUGGCUUUUUAGCACAGGUUUUACCCUGCGAGCAUUAACCUCCAUCAGGAAGCACAGGUGUAUGUACUUUAUCACUCUACAGACUAGAAAAGACCCUAUUUCCGGGCAUUCAGGUUUCCCCUGCUUCCACGCAGUUCAAGGGCUGUUCCUCUGUACCAGGUCUGCUGCAAGAAGCAUCUCACGCUAUUCUUCAGUUGGAGCGCAGAGUCUGUAG
RNAcentral lists this long non-coding RNA (304 nucleotides) under Coturnix japonica (Japanese quail). RNAcentral describes it as "lncRNA (ENSCJPG00005014153.1)". The record is from RNAcentral. Lineage: Eukaryota; Metazoa; Chordata; Aves; Galliformes; Phasianidae.